Molecule: transfer RNA, 73 nt
Filed under: Methanobrevibacter millerae
Lineage: Archaea; Methanobacteriati; Methanobacteriota; Methanobacteria; Methanobacteriales; Methanobacteriaceae
Description: tRNA_Asn_GTT
Rfam family: tRNA
About the family: Transfer RNA (tRNA) molecules are approximately 80 nucleotides in length.
Source: RNAcentral
GCUUGUGUAGCAUAGCAGGUAAUGCGUUCUGCUGUUAAUCGAAAUACUGCAGGUUCGAGUCCUGUCACAAGCG